UCUUCUCCUUCUUCUUCUUCUUCAGCAACAGUCUCCAAAGACUUGCCUCCCCAGUAUGCGGAUGCAGCCGAAGGUUUUCUGGUUGACACGGGAAUCUCCGCCUCCUUCUCUGACAAGUACUAUUCUAAGGACUCGUAUUCUGAUCUCAUUCGCUCUCUGCUAAAGACUGAUCAGGUCCGACGUGGCCACGUCUCCUGCGUCUUCUCCGUCCCACCAGCCGUUACCAAUAUUUACAAUGGAUUAUUCGGAGGGGCUAUUGGAGCUAUAGCAGAAAGAGUGGCAAUUGCUUGUGCUAGAACUGUCGUGGCCCAGGAUAAGGAACUCUUUCCUGGUGAAUUGAGUAUGUCUUAUCUCUCAGCCGCACCUCAAACUGUGAGUUUUCAUGACUUCAUUUGGGUCUUAAUCAUGUGUAAAUAAUGAUUGUGAUCUAAUUUGCUGCGAACUUAGCUUCUCAGGAAGUUGUGGUUGUUGAUGGGUCUGUUGCGAGGAGUGGCAGAAACAUAACCGUAGUUGCAAUUGAGUUCAGAAUCAAGAAAAACAGGAAGCUGGUGUACACUGCUCGUGCUACCUUAUAUCACAUGCCCGUCGCCAAGUUAUGAAAUUUCAGUGGUUUGGUAAAUUGUAUCAUUUGCUCUGUGAUGGCUUCCCAGGACAUCCUGAUAUAAUCUAGUUGAUUCGAGUAAUGAAUUGUUAGUUUAUAUGAUUUAUAUAAAUAUUUACAUUGUGGUUAUGUAUGCAAAAUGCUGGUUCGUGAGGGGAUUUUCUUAUAAAAGAAACACUUUUUGAGAAGGGUUCCCUUGUUG
Molecule: unclassified non-coding RNA, 803 nt
Filed under: Hevea brasiliensis (rubber tree)
Lineage: Eukaryota; Viridiplantae; Streptophyta; Magnoliopsida; Malpighiales; Euphorbiaceae
Source: RNAcentral